Molecule: ribosomal RNA, 253 nt
Filed under: uncultured bacterium
Lineage: Bacteria
Description: partial 16S ribosomal RNA
Rfam family: Bacterial small subunit ribosomal RNA
Source: RNAcentral
UACGGAGGGGGCUAGCGUUGUUCGGAAUUACUGGGCGUAAAACGCACGUAGGCGGCUUUGUAAGUUAGAGGUGAAAGCCCAGGGCUUAACCCUGGAAUUGCCUUUAAGACUGCAUCGCUAGAAUUGUGGAGAGGUAAGUGGAAUUCCGAGUGUAGAGGUGAAAUUCGUAGAUAUUCGGAAGAACACCAGUGGCGAAGGCGACUUACUGGACACAUAUUGACGCUGAGGUGCGAAAGCGUGGGGAGCAAACAGG